GAAAAAAGAAAUAAAAAAAAAGAAAAAUAAUAAUAAUUUUAAAAGAAGAGUGUGAACCUCUGUGUUUAUCAAUUUGUUUACAGCAGAGCUCUUCUAACUGGCAAAGUUUCAGGUAUCACAAGCCCCCCAGGUCUUUUCCAGACUUAAGACUCCAGGAAUCCUGCAAGUCUUCUGUGGAAGCAGCAAGCUGCACACUGGCAGUUCUCAACAGCUUUAGUAAUCAUCAGUAGCACAGAGUCCUCUAUAAAUUAGUAUUUCUUUGUGUCAGUUAUAAGGAUGUUGCAUUGAAUCCCCUGUUAGGUAUGCUCUUCAAUUUUCACAUCCCUGAAGUUUUCCUUUUUUAGCAUGCUUGAAAUAUUGAACUAAGAACUUGACAUUAUUGGAGGGAGAGCUUGGUGUUUCAACGGCCUUAUUACAAAAGAAUAAUAAAAAAAUGCGGAAAUUAAAAAGUUGGCAGAUUCUAGAAAGGGGCUGCAUAACUUCUUUCUCCUCACGUACUCUCUAUUCCAAAUAGAGCAAAAAAGUUUUCUUCUACAAGAAGACUUUUCAAAAAGAAGACUUCGUAUAUCAAUAACCAACAACUGUCACUGCAUUUGCUAAUAAUGUAUAAGAAGAUUAGUUUAAUUAGUCAAGCAGUUAAUACUGCUAUUAUUUGAACUAGUUUUCAGCACUGACACUCUCUUGAAAUUAGUUUUAUAUUCCUCAGGCUAUAGUUUCAGCCUGUUUACAGACCAGUUACAUAGCACUGGUUCACAUUAGUUAACCAUAACACAUUGUAUUAAACAUAUCAAAUUAGCUUCCCAAUCAAAGCUUUUAAAAAGAAAAUACAUACUAGUAAGUUUUAAAGCAAGUGAUUUCAUUCUCUUUUGCUAUAAUUUUGUAACAGCCAUAUGCAUAAAAAAAGUGAAAAGUAAUUUGGCUUAAAAAAAGGUGUUUCUUGCCUGGAAGAGGGAAAAAAAAAUCCUCAAAGUCAGAAAUUUCUAGUAACAUUAGGAGUCAAGGUAUCACUAAUAGCUAUCACAUGAAAUUUAAAUCUUAGGAAUGUGUCUAAUGAUUUAGAAAAUUAAAACUGUAUGCAAAAUCAUUAGUAAGGAAUUCUAAUUGAACACUAAGUCUUUUUCUCAUCUCUCAAUGCUGUAAAAACUGAAUAUUUUACAGAGCUUUUACAAAUAAACACAGUGCAGACUAUUCCUAACAUACUUGUGAGCAACAUAGAAGAUAAAUUCACAGCAGAGGUGAGACCUGAGUGCCUGAAAUCCCACGUAACAUUAAGAGCCAUUUUUCUUGCUUAGAAAAAAAAAUAAAUUGUAGCACACAAUUAUCUUACAUUUCUGUAAAAUAUACACUUACAAAUUAAGAACUUGAUUUGACUUUAUAAACACUCUAUAGUCAAGCACUAUACUUCAGGACCUGUAACUCAUUAGAAAAUUCUACCUUAGAAAAAUGAAGAGACUAAUUCUAAACAAAGUAAUUAUUCCUUGAAAACAGACUGCACACAGUAAGACGUUAUCACACUAAUAGCUCUGACGAAAUCCACAGAGCAAUUAAGCUAAAUGAAAAGAGGUAUCAGAAUGUGGUCCAAAACACUUUUGACAUCAACUAUUUACAUAAUAAAUGUAAAUACAGAAUGUUUACUACUACCUCUACCCUCCAAGAUGAAGGUUCACUCACCUAUCCAUGUAAAGUACUACUGUAUAUACGCCUUAAUCAGGAAGUAUUUUUUAAAAUCCUUUUGUCACUUGAUUGUCUGUCAGUAGUUUGACUCAAACUAUUUGUCUGAGUGAUGAAUGCAAAUUUGCACUUUGGUAGUCAGGCAUAAAAAGAAUAACUCUAUAUAUUUUGAUCUCCAAGGUAUGAAAAACAGCCACUUAAACCAUCUGAAAGUAAGAGACUGCCUCAAAACAGGAGACUGAAAAGUUUUCUCUGAAAGCUUUGUGUGAAAAUUGUUUUAUUUUCAAAAAUUGUUUGUUUGGCUCACAUUUUAUAGCUUGAAAAAGACUAUUUGACUUGCUUCUAAUUAUUAGUCUUUGCUUCACAAGCUUAACAGAGUGCACACAAACAACACAUUUAAGCAUCAAUAGUGAUAGACAGCUAAAUAUACUUAUCCAUAUCCUAUGGAUUUAUAAUAAUAACACUCUGCAUCUUGACAUGUGUUCUCCUCGUUAGCAAAGCCUGAAAUUCUCAGAAGAAAUGAGGCUGAUUUUAUUUAGAAGAUGUAGCAUUCAAAAAUGACCAGCUCAUGAACUGAAUACAUGUCAACAACCUUGCUGCAGGCCUUCAGCAAGUACCUGGCCAGGGAGCAGGGAAGUUGUAUCAACCUCCUCUGAGCAAAGUCAGUUGUGAGGAGUCAGGAGGUGACAUCGGCAGUUCUGGCACUUGUCCUGUACUUCUCCUUGAAAAACUGGAGAGGUGAUGGACAGUUGGUCUAGAAGGGCCUACUUAAUGCAAUACUUUUAAAAAUAGUGUAACUCAUUCGUAGGAUAAAAGAAGUCUUGAAACUUUCCCCAAAAUUACAUCAAUGAAAGGUUUUCCAGGCAGUAAAACAUUCUUUUACCUAAUUUCUCUUUAAGACAUUGAUCUUUAGUCUUCCUCGGUUCAUACACUUUUCUUUUUCCUACCAAUGUCCUAUUUGAAUAAAUACACCUACAUGCAAGGUUCAUGGCUAUUACAGGAGAAAUAAGAUGACAACAUUUUCUCGCUGUCUCACCAACUGUUACCCUUAGGAAAAAGAAAAACCUAAAAACUCUAUUACAUACUGUACAUAUAAACGAUGCUUCUAUAAUCCAGUUGAAGUCAGCAUGUUAAUUCAGGUCGCUAACUGGGUGAAAUCCUGAAAGGUAUUGAGCACUAUCAAUGCAUAUGGCAGUCUGAGAAAGUUGAAGAGGCUUCAUCACAUCCCAGGAUGAGAAAAUGUUCUCAGAUCCCUCCUGCAACAUGAUGGUAAAGUUUGCUUUCCAUCUAACAAAUAAUAAUAGCUAAUAACUACACUAUUCUUCCAGAAUUUCACAGACUUCUCCCUAAACAUCUCUUCCUUCUCUCCAGAGCAUUUAACAUAAAUCUUAACCAUUCCUCCUCGAGGCUCCUCCCCUGCAAGAAAGUUGGUAUGCCUUAGCACAGUGAAAUCAUUGCUCUAAAAGCCAGCCUGCUCAUUAAAUUAUUCUGCUAGCUGUGUGUUCUCUCAUUAAAAAUGUAUAAAGAUCAGAUAAUUGCAGCACAUAUUAUUAACCUUGUUUUCCUUCCUUUCAUGUACAGGUUCUGUUUUGCUGCUAAGACAAAGACUUGGAAAGGACAGGGGAAACACUCAGCUAAACUACAAUAUGAAAAACUCUUCCAGUUUUCCUUCAAGACUACAAGGAAUCAAAGUGCAGUCAAAAAUGCCAAUACUUUUACAACAGGUGCAAAUCUCAGAAAAUGUUCUGCAGUGAGUGUCCGUCUCCUUCAGCCAUCCGUCCGCAUGCGGCUGGAAAGGCACCAGCCCCACAGUGCGACUGAGCAUGUAAUGGGCUCAAGUUACAGGAGAUUAGCAGGAUUUCCCCUGUAACUGCUGCUCCCAUCUGCCAGAGACCAGACAUUGGAGCUGACAGCAGGAAGACAAUCUCGCCUGUUGCUCUCAUGACCCUUCGGCUGGUGCCCCAGGGACAUGCAUGAGACCAGCCCUUGAGAGCACACGGCAGAGGGGGUGUCAGAAAAGGCCGGUGGACCAAAGCAUGGCAUGAAGCUGGGCAGAAGAGGGAGAGACAGCAAUGAGAGGGAAAGGGAGGAGGACAGCCAAGAGACAAGAGUCUGGAAAUCCUGGAUCUGGUCAAGCAGAAGGUUACAACACAGAGGAAGAUGGUGCCCAAACCAGAGAAGGGAGAGUAAGCAGCACAGGCACCACCAGCCACCAGGAGCCAUCCACCCUCUCCACAGACCACAUGCACAUACCCCAACACGUGGCAAGAUCUUCCGUGGUCUGUUAGUUUGCCUCUAAAGAGGGAGGAAACUUGCAAGUUACCUCAACCCCUAACCCCCCAAACCCAAGAUAAGUCACUAACACAACCCCUCAAAAGGUGAGGGUUCAGCACCACCUCCACAAUCCUAUUUUAAAUGCCACUGCUUCACAGCGCAUACACUGAUCUUCAACCACUGUAGAGCUUUAACUGCAGUCAAACAGGGUUGAGGUGCUCCCAGAUACCAUCCCUAGGACUCCUGAAUCAAAACCACAAAACUAGCAGCCACACAGAUCCUCGUUAUCAUGGGUUAUUAUGUUUUAGAUCCUCUUACUCCAAAGGAUCAGAAGCCCUUCAAACUCAAUAGGGAAUGCCGAAAAAAUAUCACAUCCCAUUUGUGGACCUUUUAGCUAGGACCUAUCAAAAAGCUCAAGAGAAAAUGUAUGCUCUUUCUCAAAAAUGGCACUUGAGUAGUGCCAUAACAAGGCACGAAUUCAUGCACUAAAGAAAAAGGUAUUUUUAAAAAUAAUUGCUCUGUACAUUGAGGAGUUAAUUGUUCUAAAAUGACUGAUUCCAAAUGGAGAUAUGCCCAUGCGCCCAUUCAUUUUCCACAUCGGUUACAAAGAAAACGGCCAGAAUUUCAAUUUUCAAGCCGAUUUAUACAACCAUAUUAUAUAUUUAACUGCAAAACAACAUCAUCUUAGAGAAGCUGAGAAAUUCAGAUGUCAAACUCAACAAAGAAUAACAAACAAAGGUAAAUUCCCAACUCAGAAAAUGCCAUCUGCUCUGCUUCACAUGCUCCUGUAAUUAAUGAAUCAAGGGGAAAAUGCUGCUAAAGGUGACUAUUACACACAAUUUUCUGAAUGAUGUUGAUAUAACUUUUGGAGAAAAGGACAAUUUUGGAAGUAAUAAAGAGGAGGAGAACUGAAAAAUGCAGAACCCACACAGUUGUUUUUCCUUCUUUACUCUUGAAUCAUAAUUCCAGAAACAACAAAACUUGUCAAUUUAAGGAGAGUUUUGCAAGAAGUGUGGAGCAUAUGUAACACUAACACUGUAGUCACCAAGCAAUUUAAGUGACAUUCAGUGUAACAGAUAGAUGAUUUUGAGCCUUGCACAGAUGACCUAUGGCAACAGUGACAUUUUGUCACUGAAGAGAAAUAGGCAUUUGUGGGCUGUGAUUCAUCCUAUCCCAAAGCAGCUAUUCUAAGAGAUUCCAUCAUAUCCUAAAAGCAUCUAUGUUUCUUUACUGGUUACCUGAGAUGGUCACACUUAGGCUUCUUCUAUCGUGUCCUUCAUUAAACAUGUAAGAGAUAAAAUCUUACUACAGAAGAACCUUUAUUAGGAAUAUAAAUAUUU
This is a long non-coding RNA of Corapipo altera (White-ruffed manakin), 5285 nucleotides long. RefSeq lists it as uncharacterized. Lineage: Eukaryota; Metazoa; Chordata; Aves; Passeriformes; Pipridae. The transcript is spliced from 3 exons. The record is from RefSeq and is a predicted model, not a curated record.